Molecule: transfer RNA, 90 nt
Filed under: Grosmannia clavigera kw1407
Lineage: Eukaryota; Fungi; Ascomycota; Sordariomycetes; Ophiostomatales; Ophiostomataceae
Rfam family: tRNA
About the family: Transfer RNA (tRNA) molecules are approximately 80 nucleotides in length. Their secondary structure includes four short double-helical elements and three loops (D, anti-codon, and T loops).
Source: Rfam by way of RNAcentral
GGUCCUGUAGUCUAGCGGUUAGGACACUGGAUUCUGAUAUCUCACCAUAUCUUACUUCCAGUAGCCCCGGUUCGAUUCCGGGCAGGACCU